RNAcentral lists this ribosomal RNA (274 nucleotides) under uncultured bacterium. Its description in RNAcentral is "partial 16S ribosomal RNA". It matches the Rfam family "Bacterial small subunit ribosomal RNA", at positions 523 to 796 of the family's 1533-position model. The record is from RNAcentral.
AUACGGAGGGUGCAAGCGUUAUUCGGAAUCACUGGGCGUAAAGGACGCGUAGGCGGGUUGGCAAGUCAGAUGUGAAAUCCUACAGCUUAACUGUAGAACUGCAUUUGAAACUGCUAACCUAGAGUAUGGGAGGGGGAGAUGGAAUUAGUGGUGUAGGGGUAAAAUCCGUAGAUAUCACUAGGAAUACCGAAAGCGAAGGCGAUCUCCUGGAACAUAACUGACGCUAAGGCGCGAAAGCGUGGGGAGCAAACAGGAUUAGAUACCCUAGUAGUCC